GGUAGGGUAGCCGAGUACUAAGCCAGUGGGUUGUAGCCCCGAAGACAGAGGUUCAAAUCCUCUCCCUAUCA
RNAcentral lists this transfer RNA (71 nucleotides) under Microphysogobio chenhsienensis. RNAcentral describes it as "Huigobio chenhsienensis tRNA-Tyr". It matches the Rfam family "tRNA". Rfam says of the family: Transfer RNA (tRNA) molecules are approximately 80 nucleotides in length. The record is from RNAcentral. Lineage: Eukaryota; Metazoa; Chordata; Actinopteri; Cypriniformes; Gobionidae.